CUUGAUGGAGCCGAGGUACAGCGGUUCGGCGUCCGCCUCGCGCCGCCCGUAGGUGGCGAGCAGCGCCUGCGCCUC
Non-coding RNA from Streptomyces sp. TSRI0107, 75 nucleotides. Lineage: Bacteria; Bacillati; Actinomycetota; Actinomycetes; Kitasatosporales; Streptomycetaceae. The record is from Rfam.